Molecule: ribosomal RNA, 468 nt
Filed under: Triticum aestivum (bread wheat)
Lineage: Eukaryota; Viridiplantae; Streptophyta; Magnoliopsida; Poales; Poaceae
Description: partial small subunit ribosomal RNA
Source: RNAcentral
AUGGUCGCCUCUGUUCCCCCGCCUGCAAAGAGGAAGAAGGGGGAUCCGAAGCCCUCUCCGCUCCUUCUGGGUGCAGGUUGGUCCGCCCUCCCGCCGGACCUCGUCCGCCGGGUCGCCGACUCCCUCCUGGCCAUGUUCAUUGGCCAUCAGAGGUCCCUGGCCAUUGAUGCAGACAAGUUCCCAGGCAUCGAUGCAAACUGUGUCUACUACACCGACAUUCUGGGUUCAUCGGCUCAUAUCUGCAAGUGGAACAUCAAGGAUAGGAAAGUAGAGAGGAUCUCUGAAUCUGCCGAGUUCUUGAAGCAGGACAAGAAGUUUGCCCUCGUCGCUGACCGUCCUUGGACGAUCAUCCACCUUUUUUGCAGCUACACCAUCAACAUCCCGGUUCUCAGCUGGCUUUGCAUCAGAUUCCAUAAGGCGACGGUAGACCUUCAUUCAACUCUGGGGAUCCUGAUGACUGCAAAGUAA